This 500-nucleotide ribosomal RNA is filed under the name Sticta humboldtii. RNAcentral's name for it is "SSU rRNA". It matches the Rfam family "Bacterial small subunit ribosomal RNA", at positions 533 to 995 of the family's 1533-position model. Lineage: Eukaryota; Fungi; Ascomycota; Lecanoromycetes; Peltigerales; Lobariaceae. The record is from RNAcentral.
GACAAGUGUUAUUCAUCUUUAUUAGGUUUAAMGARUACCAAGACGGUUAAUAAAGCCCAAAAUAAAUGAAUACGGGGGACACAUUAACUAGAGUUAUAUGAAAGGAAGCUCUAAGGUACUGUUGAGUGUAGAGAUGAAAUUUAAUUAUACCAGAUGAUUGGCACAGAUUUAUGCGAAGGCAUCUUCUUAUGUAAUAACUGACGUUGUAGGACGAAGGCUUGGGAAGUGAACAGGAUUAGGUACCCCAGUAAUCUAGGCAGAAAAUGAUGAAUGUCAUAGGUUCAAUACAGACAGGUUAAAUUGACUAUCUAAUAGUAAAUAGGUGCUAUAUUAAUCAGUCUAUUAUUGUGUCUAUAAAUGAAAGUGUAAGCAUUCCACCUCAAGAGUAAUUUGGCAACAUUGGAACUGAAAUCAUUAGACCGUUUCUGAAACCAGUAGUGAAGUAUGUUGUUUAAUUAGAUGAUACACAAAAACCUUACCACAAUUUGAAUAUAUAUAAA